This 253-nucleotide ribosomal RNA is filed under the name uncultured bacterium. RNAcentral's name for it is "partial 16S ribosomal RNA". It matches the Rfam family "Bacterial small subunit ribosomal RNA", at positions 524 to 776 of the family's 1533-position model. The record is from RNAcentral.
UACGUAGGGGGCUAGCGUUGUCCGGACUCAUUGGGCGUAAAGAGCGUGUAGGCGGUCCGGUAAGUCCGCUGUGAAAGUCGGGGGCUCAACCCUCGAAUGCCGGUGGAUACUGUCGGGCUAGAGUGCGGAAGAGGCGAGUGGAAUUCCUGGUGUAGCGGUGAAAUGCGCAGAUAUCAGGAGGAACACCAAUUGCGAAGGCAGCUCGCUGGGACGUAACUGACGCUGAGACGCGAAAGCGUGGGGAGCAAACGGG